GUAGGGUGCGAGCGUUGUCCGGAAUUAUUGGGCGUAAAGAGCUUGUAGGCGGUUUGUCGCGUCUGCUGUGAAAAUCCGGGGCUCAACCCCGGACUUGCAGUGGGUACGGGCAGGCUAGAGUGUGGUAGGGGAGACUGGAAUUCCUGGUGUAGCGGUGGAAUGCGCAGAUAUCAGGAGGAACACCGAUGGCGAAGGCAGGUCUCUGGGCCACUACUGACGCUGAGAAGCGAAAGCAUGGGGAGCGAACAGGAUUAGAUACCCUGGUAGUCCAUGCCGUAAACGUUGGGCGCUAGGUGUGGGACUCAUUCCACGAGUUCCGUGCCGCAGCUAACGCAUUAAGCGCCCCGCCUGGGGAGUACGGCCGCAAGGCUAAA
Molecule: ribosomal RNA, 374 nt
Filed under: uncultured bacterium
Lineage: Bacteria
Description: bacterial SSU rRNA
Rfam family: Bacterial small subunit ribosomal RNA
Source: RNAcentral